UGCCAGACUCCUACGGGAGGCAGCAGUGGGGAAUAUUGCACAAUGGGGGGAACCCUGAUGCAGCGACGCCGCGUGGGUGAAGGAGUAUUUCGGUAUGUAAAGCCCUAUCAGCAGGGAAGAACAAUGACGGUACCUGACUAAGAAGCAUCGGCUAAAUACGUGCCAGCAGCCGCGGUAAUACGUAUGGUGCAAGCGUUAUCCGGAUUUACUGGGUGUAAAGGGAGCGCAGGCGGCGCGUUAAGCCUGGUGUGUAAGCCCGCGGCCCAACCGCGGAACUGCAUUUGAAACUGUUUUUCUUGAGUACCGGAGAGGUCAUCGGAAUUCCUUGUGUAGCGGUGAAAUGCGUAGAUAUAAGGAAGAACACCAGUGGCGAAGGCGGAUGACUGGACGGCAACUGACGGUGAGGCGCGAAAGCGUGGGGAGCAAACAGGAUUAGAUACCCUUGUAA
This 448-nucleotide ribosomal RNA is filed under the name uncultured bacterium. RNAcentral describes it as "bacterial SSU rRNA". It matches the Rfam family "Bacterial small subunit ribosomal RNA", at positions 329 to 793 of the family's 1533-position model. The record is from RNAcentral.